This 484-nucleotide ribosomal RNA is filed under the name uncultured bacterium. RNAcentral's name for it is "bacterial SSU rRNA". It matches the Rfam family "Bacterial small subunit ribosomal RNA", at positions 29 to 507 of the family's 1533-position model. The record is from RNAcentral.
AUGAACGCUAGCGGCAGGCUUAACACAUGCAAGUCGAGGGGCAACACGGGUAGCAAUACCUGGUGGCGACCGGCGCAAGGGUGCGUAACGCGUGAGCAACAUGCCCUAUACAGGGGGAUAAUCCAGGGAAACUUGGUCUAAUAUCCCAUAGUAUUUAGAGGUGGCAUCACCACUAAAUUAAAGCUUCGGUGGUAUAGGAUUGGCUCGCGUGACAUUAGCUGGAUGGUGGGGUAACGGCUCACCAUGGCGAUGAUGUCUAGGGGUUCUGAGGGGAAGACCCCCCCACACUGGGACUGAGACACGGCCCAGACUCCUACGGGAGGCAGCAGUGAGGAAUAUUGGACAAUGGAUGGAAAUCUGAUCCAGCCAUGCCGCGUGCAGGAAGACGGCCCUAUGGGUUGUAAACUGCUUUUAUAUGGGAGCAAUAAGGUUUACGCGUAGACCGAUGAGAGUACCAUAUGAAUAAGCAUCGGCUAACUCCGUG